GAUGAACGCUGGCGGCGUGCCUAAUACAUGCAAGUCGAGCGAACGGACGAGAAGCUUGCUUCUCUGAUGUUAGCGGCGGACGGGUGAGUAACACGUGGAUAACCUACCUAUAAGACUGGGAUAACUUCGGGAAACCGGAGCUAAUACCGGAUGAUCUUUUGAACCGCAUGGUUCAAAAGUGAAAGACGGUCUUGCUGUCACUUAUAGAUGGAUCCGCGCUGCAUUAGCUAGUUGGUAAGGUAACGGCUUACCAAGGCAACGAUGCAUAACCGACCUGAGAGGGGGAUCGGCCACACGGGAACGGAGACGCGGUCCAGACUCCUACGGGAGGCAGCAGUAGGGAAUCGUCCGCAAUGGGCGAAAGCCUGACGGAGCAACGCCGCGUGAGAGAUGAAGGUCUCCGGAUCGUAAAACUCUGUUAUUAGUGAAGAACAUAUGUGUAAGUAACUGUGCACAUCUUGACGGUACCUAAUCAGAAAGCCACGGCUAACUACGUG
RNAcentral lists this ribosomal RNA (497 nucleotides) under uncultured bacterium. RNAcentral describes it as "partial 16S ribosomal RNA". It matches the Rfam family "Bacterial small subunit ribosomal RNA", at positions 28 to 507 of the family's 1533-position model. The record is from RNAcentral.